This 725-nucleotide long non-coding RNA is filed under the name Coturnix japonica (Japanese quail). RNAcentral's name for it is "lncRNA (ENSCJPG00005018058.1)". The record is from RNAcentral. Lineage: Eukaryota; Metazoa; Chordata; Aves; Galliformes; Phasianidae.
GAAAAAUUUAAUGCUUCCAAGCAGACAGCUUGAUAUGCAUUGCAACAAAUUAUUCCAACCCACUGCAAAUGUUUGUAAUAAAAAUGACAACUGAAUCUUAACUACUCUGGAACGAUACAGGAUGUGGAGGUACCAAUACAGCCUGAUAGACCAUAUCUUAUGAAAACAACGUGCAUACAGGGCAUAAUUGUAAUCAUAGAAUCACAAGGUUGGAAAGGACCUACAAGAUCAUCUACUUCAACCAUCCUCCCUUUACCAUACCUACAGAAAAACCACUAAACCAUAUCUCCUAUCUCCCCAUCCAGAUGCCAUUUCACUUCCAUGGGCAGUAAUGUGAUUGCUCCCAGACUGCUUCAGAAUGGUGAUGUAAGGCGGGGAGCCCUGUGAUUUCACUUGGGCUGCAGGAGAUGCAUAAAGAAUGAUCAAGGAGAAGGGUGUGGGAAGGGAACAGGCUUCAGAAGAAAUUAUUUCCUUCAUUUAUUUAGAAACCAAAUGAAACUGGCUGUGGGAUAUUGGGCAAGAAACUGUUUUCUAGCACUUUCUCUAAACAAAUGAACAAAAUACUAAUAAGCUUUCAAAAGAGUUCUUCCACUGGAAGAUAUCUAAAGAGAUGUCCAGAAGUAAAGGAGCAUUGUGAAACCCCAAAGGUGAGGACUUUUGAAAAUUCUACUUUUUAAGUAAAGAUUUUGUAACUAAGAUUGAGAAAAAUAGCAGAGCUGCAAAUA